GGGUAGGCAGUUGAUGCAAUAUCUGUUGUCCCAUUGAUUGCCAGGAUUGAUUUGGCUGAUUGGGUUGCUUAGAUGGAUUUCCCUUUCCUUGAUCGUUGUUCUACAUGUGCUUGAAAGCUGUGUGCUUAGAGUAGACAGUGUUCCCCAACCUGUGGACUGGUACAGCAUCAACAGAAACGCUUUUAUUCUACACAACCUAGUGAACGAAAGGUUGGUUUUUUUUCCCUG
RNAcentral lists this small RNA (228 nucleotides) under Notamacropus eugenii (tammar wallaby). RNAcentral's name for it is "7SK RNA (ENSMEUG00000017886.1)". The stretch from base 1 to 172 matches the Rfam family "7SK RNA". Rfam says of the family: 7SK was discovered as an abundant small nuclear RNA in the mid-70s but a possible function has only recently been suggested. Lineage: Eukaryota; Metazoa; Chordata; Mammalia; Diprotodontia; Macropodidae. The record is from RNAcentral.